Molecule: ribosomal RNA, 414 nt
Filed under: uncultured bacterium
Lineage: Bacteria
Description: bacterial SSU rRNA
Rfam family: Bacterial small subunit ribosomal RNA
Source: RNAcentral
UCGAGGAUCUUCGGCAAUGGGCGCAAGCCUGACCGAGCGACGCCGCGUGUGCGAUGAAGGCCUUCGGGUUGUAAAGCACUGUCGAGGGGGAGGAAGCUCCGUAAGGAGUUGACCUAUCCCUGGAGGAAGCACGGGCUAAGUUCGUGCCAGCAGCCGCGGUAAGACGAACCGUGCAAACGUUAUUCGGAAUCACUGGGCUUAAAGGGCGCGUAGGCGGGUCGGAUAGUCUGCGGUGAAAUCCCUCAGCUUAACUGGGGAACUGCCGUGGAUACUGCCAAUCUCGAGGAGGGUAGGGGCAUCUGGAACAGCCGGUGGAGCGGUGAAAUGCGUUGAUAUCGGCUGGAACUCCGGUGGCGAAGGCGAGAUGCUGGACCCUUUCUGACGCUGAGGCGCGAAAGCCAGGGGANCGAACGG